GGCGGUGUAGCUCAGUUGGUCAGAGCACACGGUUCAUACCCGUGGCGUCAUUGGUUCAAAUCCAAUCACCGCUACCA
This 77-nucleotide transfer RNA is filed under the name Actinomycetes bacterium. RNAcentral describes it as "tRNA-Met". It matches the Rfam family "tRNA". From Rfam's summary of the family: Transfer RNA (tRNA) molecules are approximately 80 nucleotides in length. Their secondary structure includes four short double-helical elements and three loops (D, anti-codon, and T loops). Further hydrogen bonds mediate the characteristic L-shaped molecular structure. tRNAs have two regions of fundamental functional importance: the anti-codon, which is responsible for specific mRNA codon recognition, and the 3' end, to which the tRNAs corresponding amino acid is attached (by aminoacyl-tRNA synthetases). tRNAs cope with the degeneracy of the genetic code in two manners: having more than one tRNA (with a specific anti-codon) for a particular amino acid; and 'wobble' base-pairing, i.e. permitting non-standard base-pairing at the 3rd anti-codon position. Lineage: Bacteria; Bacillati; Actinomycetota; Actinomycetes. The record is from RNAcentral. RNAcentral also lists the same sequence under 4 other names.